This 2183-nucleotide small RNA is filed under the name Pyricularia oryzae. RNAcentral describes it as "Magnaporthe oryzae sRNA M_BR32_EuGene_00141711". The record is from RNAcentral. Lineage: Eukaryota; Fungi; Ascomycota; Sordariomycetes; Magnaporthales; Pyriculariaceae.
AUUUAUAUAAUGGGAUAGAUAAAAAGUCGAAUAAUAAAUCGAAUUCAAAUUUUAGAAAUGCACAAAUAAUACCACUUUAAAAUCAAAAGUUUAGGGUUUUUAACGAUAUUUUAUUAUUAAUUUUGCCGCUUAUAUUGGCCGGGUUAUUAACUGUUUUACGUAUUUUAUUUAUAUUUUUAUUUUUUACUAUAUUAACAUAUAUAUACGAUAAAAGCUCUAAUUUUUAUUCAGAAAUAAUAUUUAUAUUUAUUUAUAUAUAUAAAUAUUUUAUUAUUAAUUUCAAAACACUUAUUUAAAAUUUUAUAGUAAGAAAUAUAAAAUUUAUUAAAUUUAUUAAAUUUAUUUUUAAUAAAUAAUAGGUCUGGUACUUAAAUUUCUAAAUAUGAUAUUAUAAUAUAUACUUGACGUAUAACUUAUAUUUUGGUUUAGUUUUAAAAAAUUUAUUUAUUUAAAUAAAAAUAAAGAUAAUAAUAAUUGCAAAUAUUGUUAUUUUUAUUAAUAAAAUAGCCGAUUUUUGGUUUUUUGCAAAAUAAAUUAACGUGGACGUUUGUUUAUAUAUAACGACCAAUCGUUAAAAUUCUUGUCCGCCUAUCGUAAAAACUGGUUAAAAUGCAAACCCGUUUCGAUUAUAAAUUUUACUAAAUUUUAAUUUGUUUUACCUAUUUGGUUUUUAAUACGUUAUAUUACGUAAUAUUAGUACCAAAGUUUAUAAAUAUAUAAAUUAUACCAAUAUUACCCCCUACGUACAAAAAUUUUCAAAUUAUACUGUAAAAUAAAAUAAUAAUAAAAUAAAAUCGAAAAAACACAAAAUUUCAACAAAACCCAACCUCCAUAUAAAAAUAAACGAAAACCCAUAUCCAAUUCGGCCAAUUUGCGUAUUAAAAAUUAAUCUCAAAACUCAGACUAGCCCACCCUUGUUUCGCAAAAACGGCCCGCGCGUUUAUAUACCUUACCAACCACAUGGUUUUUCCACCAAUUAUAUUGGCGGAAAAAAUAACGCGCGUUUUAAUUUAAAAACACCUCGUCGAUUUUCGUCGUUAACGAUUAAAUUGCAUCGCCACGUUAAAUUAAUAUCGUUUCCAAUAAUAAUAUUUUUAUUACAAAAAUUGCAAAAAAAAAAAAAAAAUCCCAAUACCCACCCGCGUAUAUUUUAUAAUAAAAUUUUUACCAACCAAAUUCCAUUAUUAAAAACGGAAUAUAAUGCAAAAUAUAUUAUCCCCAACGUUAAACCCAAUCUUUUUGGUAAUAUUUUUUUUUGGGCAACCCGGAAUAUUUUUAUUCCCAUUUUCGGAUUUUAUUUUCCUAUUUUUAACGUUAAUUUACUUUUUAUUACCCAAUUUUCGAAAUAAAAACGAAUAAAAAUUUAUAAAUUUUAUAUUCGAUUAAUUUUAAUAUUUUUACAACCGCGACCCCGAACGCGAAUUAUUUAUUCCCAAAUAUAACGUCGAAAAUAUUUUAAUUUGCAAAAUUUUUAAAUUUUAAUAUUACCGUUUAUAACGCACCAAUUUGCGCCAAUUUAUCCAUAUUUAAUUAACCGCCCCAAAUACCUAUAAUAUUACCAAAUCCGCCCUAUUAUAUAUACGUUAUUUUAAAAAAAUAUUACGAAAUUUUAAUAUAUAAUAACGGUUGCGUAAUAACGGUAUCGAAUUUUAAUUCGAUAAUAAAAAUCCCGUUUUUAUCGACAACGUUUUUUUACGCCAAAAAUUCGGGAAAUUAAUAUAAUAUAUACGUAUUUACGGUUAUUUUAACCCCACGAAAUUUUAAUUUCCGGGAACCGGGAAAUAUUCGGCCAAAAAUAUAUGCAAUACCAAUUGGUUAAAAUAAACGUUUAAUAUAACCGACCAAAAUAUUUCAUCCAUAAUUUUUUUAUUAUAUAAAUUUAUAUUAAUAGUAUUUUAACAAUUACGCUACCACCGUCCAUUUUAUACGUUAUUAUAAAAUUCCAAUAUAAUAUAUAAAAAUAUAAAUUUUUUUUCGCAAAUUACAAAUUUUUUUAUAUCGAUAAAUUAUCGCGCCAUAUUUAUAUUAAUUUUUUUUACCUACGGCCAUUUUUUAUAAAAAAACAAUUAUUUAUUACGGGCAAUCGCGUUAUAUUUAAUACAAAAUGGAAUCCCAAAACGCGUUAUAAAUACGUUAACCGGGUUCGAAUUAUAUUUAUUAUAUAAAAAUACCAAAUAAUAAAA